This 253-nucleotide ribosomal RNA is filed under the name uncultured bacterium. RNAcentral's name for it is "partial 16S ribosomal RNA". It matches the Rfam family "Bacterial small subunit ribosomal RNA", at positions 524 to 776 of the family's 1533-position model. The record is from RNAcentral.
GACGUAGGGCGCGAGCGUUGUCCGGAUUUAUUGGGCGUAAAGAGCGCGCAGGCGGUCGAUCAAGUCGAGUGUGAAAGCCCCCGGCUCAACUGGGGAGGGUCAUUCGAUACUGAUCGACUCGAAGGCAGGAGAGGGUAGUGGAAUUCCCGGUGUAGUGGUGAAAUGCGUAGAUAUCGGGAGGAACACCAGUGGCGAAGGCGACUACCUGGCCUGUUCUUGACGCUGAGGCGCGAAAGCUAGGGGAGCAAACGGG